Molecule: long non-coding RNA, 1558 nt
Organism: Homo sapiens (human)
Lineage: Eukaryota; Metazoa; Chordata; Mammalia; Primates; Hominidae
Product: long intergenic non-protein coding RNA 929
Source: Ensembl
AGCAGACAGAUGAUUCCCCAGUCCCGGAACACUCUCGGCCCUCUUCAGCCACUCCCUCCCCAACCCACACGCCAUCAACCUCCAGACCCUCUCGCCGUGGCUUAGAGGUGUCUCUGACAACGUGGCACACUGGGAAGGCCUUCUUUCCUGCUACCAAUACAAAUGCAUUCUGAAUUUGAUAUGUCAUUAAAUGUAAAAAUACAGCCAAUUUGAAACAAGCAAAUGGAAAUUCCCAGGAACCAAAAACAGAAAGAAAAAUCAGAGCUACCGCAGUGCUGUCCCUGCAGACAGAAUUUGGGAGAGGUACUCAGAGUCACCUCCUGUGAGCCUAUGCAAGCCAGCUCCUGCACAACCCUGGUUUUAGUCCAGCCUUCUGCAGAAUUCCACAUUAAACAGGAUGAAGAAUAGGUUGUUAGCAGACUGAGGUACUUGGGGCAACAUUUCGUACACAACAGGAGGGAGAAACGACUCCAGGUUGUCUUGUGGUAGAGGAGAUUUUGCCUUGCAAUUUUACAUACUUAUGCUACGUGGAAGGCUGGGUGGCGUGACUUCAGAAAAAUGUUUCCUCAGGAAAGAGACACACAGAGAGAGAGAGAAAGAGAGAAAGAGAGAACCCACCUACCUGUUUUGCAAAAGUCUCAUGAAUCAUCCCUUCCUGUGGUCCUGCUCCCUGAGAUCCUUUCACCGCUCACAGUGGGCUACUUCUAAGAGCGUGCCUGGCACAGGGUCACUGAGAGCAUAGUCUUAAUAAAACAAUGAUGGAUGCUUGUCUCUCUCACUGGGUGCCAUGCACUUUGAUCAGAAGCUUUAAGAAUGUUUUCCUCCACUGUCUAGUCACAGCCGUAUUAAAUUACACAAGGCAUGGGAAGAGGCAUAAUCUGUUGAUGAUAAAUCAGAAUUAAUGAGAGUUUAACAAGCCUGCUAAAUACUAAGUCAAUGUAAAAAAUCAAUUGUAAGCCCAUCUAUCAGAAAAACACUAUUAGCAAGCAAAAUUUACAUUUUUACUGCUUAACAUAGCAUCCCAAAUAUCAAGUACCUAGCAACAAAUCUAACGAAAGAUAUGCAAGACUUAUAGAGAAAACAGCAACAGCAACAACUUUGUUUAGAUACAUUAGCGAAGAUCUCAUUACAUGGAGACAUACACUAUGCUCAUGGACUGGAAGACUCCAUAUGGAAGAUGCCAAUUCACAUCUCAGAAUCUCAGCAGGUGUUGCAAAGAACCUGAAAAUUUGUUUUAAAAAUUCAUGUCAAAAUGCAAAGGUCCUACAAUUGCCAAAGAAAAAUAGGGAGGGAGGACCACCUGAUAUCAGCGGUGAUUAUAAAACAAUAAUAAAUGUGAUACCUUGCCUUAAGUCUGGGGAUAGACAAAUAGACGAGGGGCGCAGGUUGGAGAAUCCAGAAACUGACCCAUGAAUACAUUGACACUUGAUAUAUGACAGAAAUGGCCCCCAAAGCCAUGGGUGUCUGGGCAUAUAGUAUCCAUACAGAAAAAAUAUGAACUAUCUUCAAUAAGAGACAUAACACUAUAAAAGAAAAUCAUUUUAAGAAAAAAUUGUAC